UUAAUUGAAACCAAUUUUUGAGGUUAGUUACUGUUAAUAACUUAAAAGAAAUUAAAUUUAAUUUCCAA
Molecule: transfer RNA, 68 nt
Filed under: Hydropsyche simulans
Lineage: Eukaryota; Metazoa; Arthropoda; Insecta; Trichoptera; Hydropsychidae
Description: tRNA-Asn
Source: RNAcentral